UUCGCAAUGCCCGAAAGGGUGACGAAGCGACGCCGCGUGCGGGAAGAAGGCCUUCGGGUUGUAAACCGCUGUCGGGAGUUAAGAAGUGCAAGGGUGUUAAUAGCAUCUUUGCUUGACUAAGGCUCCGGAGGAAGCCACGGCUAACUCUGUGCCAGCAGCCGCGGUAAUACAGAGGCGGCAAGCGUUGUUCGGAAUUAUUGGGCGUAAAGAGCACGUAGGCGGCCUUGUAAGUCAGUUGUGAAAGCCUUCUGCUUAACGGAAGAACAGCAUCUGAUACUGCAAGGCUAGAGUGCGGAAGGGGAGAGUGGAACUUCUGGUGGAGCGGUGAAAUGCGUAGAUAUCAGAAGGAACACCGGCGGCGAAGGCGACUCUCUGGUCCGUAACUGACGCUGAGUGUGCGAAAGCUAGGGGAGCAAACGGGAUUAGAUACCCCGGUAGUCCUAGCCGUAAACGAUGGGCACUAAGUAGAGGGGUUUU
This 477-nucleotide ribosomal RNA is filed under the name Candidatus Brocadia fulgida. RNAcentral's name for it is "bacterial SSU rRNA". It matches the Rfam family "Bacterial small subunit ribosomal RNA", at positions 365 to 832 of the family's 1533-position model. The record is from RNAcentral. Lineage: Bacteria; Pseudomonadati; Planctomycetota; Candidatus Brocadiia; Candidatus Brocadiales; Candidatus Brocadiaceae.